Non-coding RNA from Termitomyces sp. Mi166#008, 81 nucleotides. The record is from the annotation of a GenBank genome assembly. NCBI's taxonomy places the organism in Eukaryota, Fungi, Basidiomycota, Agaricomycetes, Agaricales, Lyophyllaceae.
GCCAAUGUGGCUCAAUGGAUAGAGCAUCGCUUUCCUACUUUUCACAGGCGAAGGUUGUGGGUUCGACCCCCAUCAUUGGUU